Molecule: ribosomal RNA, 127 nt
Filed under: Frullania sp. B BlS-2016
Lineage: Eukaryota; Viridiplantae; Streptophyta; Jungermanniopsida; Porellales; Frullaniaceae
Description: partial 18S ribosomal RNA
Rfam family: Eukaryotic small subunit ribosomal RNA
Source: RNAcentral
UUCGGAUCGCGGCGACGGCAGCGGUUCGCCGCCGGUGACGUUGUGAGAAGUUCAUUAAACCUUAUCAUUUAGAGGAAGGAGAAGUCGUAACAAGGUUUCCGUAGGUGAACCUGCGGAAGGAUCAUUG